CGGGGAGUAGCGCAGUCCGGUAGCGCGCCUGCUUUGGGAGCAGGAUGUCGCAGGUUCGAAUCCUGUCUCCCCGA
Non-coding RNA from Porphyrobacter sp. LM 6, 74 nucleotides. The record is from Rfam. Lineage: Bacteria; Pseudomonadati; Pseudomonadota; Alphaproteobacteria; Sphingomonadales; Erythrobacteraceae.